AUGAACAUUAGGAUAAUAAUGCAUUUGAAGUAUGAACUGCUAGCUAGGAGAAAGCUGAAUGUGGAGCAACUGACGAUGGUGACGAUGCGCUUGGAGGCGGCGGCGAUGCACCGGCCCUGGUCGUCGAGGACGAAGCCGGCGGGCGGCUUGGGCAUGGCGCCGCCGGACCGUGUCCCCCCAGCGAACCUCCCCUCCCCCUCCUCCUCAUCCUCCUCGUCGUAUUCCCUGUACCCCGCCUCGUCGUCGAACUCCUCCUCCUCCCGCCGCAGAGCGACGACGGGCGAGCGGGCCAUGUCUGUCGGCGGCGCGCGGCCGGAUUGCCCCCUGGGCGGCGGCCGGCCGGCUGAGCCCCUCGGCGGCCCGCGGCCCUGGUGGUGGCGGCUGGGCGCGCCAGGAGAGCCACGCCUACCGGGCGGACCCUGGUCGUCGCCGUCGUCGUCGCGGAGCCUGGGCGGCGGCCCGCGCCGGCGGUUCUGCGGUGGAGGGCCGCGGUUCCUUGGUGGCGGCCGGGACGAGCGCUGCUGCCGCGGAGGCGCAGCCGCGCGGACGGAGACGCACCGCGCGCCAGCCGGCGGCUGGGCCACCCGGGGGAUGACCGCCAUCCCCAUCCCCAUCGCCAUUGCCAAAGCCGCCAUCUUUCACUUUCACUAUCCGUUAGCGGGUCGGGAGGUAGAAGACGAGGAGAUAACAGAGUGGGAGACAGAUAUUUGCUCCAGUGGACUCUCACGGGCCUCAUCUCAUCUGAGCCCGGCCCGGCCCGCAGACGAGCCCACCUAG
RNAcentral lists this ribosomal RNA (777 nucleotides) under Triticum aestivum (bread wheat). Its description in RNAcentral is "partial small subunit ribosomal RNA". Lineage: Eukaryota; Viridiplantae; Streptophyta; Magnoliopsida; Poales; Poaceae. The record is from RNAcentral.